This is a long non-coding RNA of Nicotiana tabacum (common tobacco), 340 nucleotides long. RefSeq lists it as uncharacterized. Lineage: Eukaryota; Viridiplantae; Streptophyta; Magnoliopsida; Solanales; Solanaceae. The record is from RefSeq and is a predicted model, not a curated record.
ACUCCCAAUUUCACUCAGACUUAAACGCCUCAUCUCUCAUUCUCUCUCAGACGACGGACGCAGAGACGCUCCUUCGUCCUCGUGAAUAGCGGUUCUUCAAUUCUCAGAAGGUGGACCGUCGGCGACUUUCUCCUGUUUGACUCUCCAGCGAAAAGUAUGGAGUCUCAAAAUGAAGAGAAUCCGGUUGGUUCAUCUUCUAGUACUUUUCCUAUAGAGAGUGACAGUCAAUUGCCUAUGCAAGUCGAUGAAGUUGUUGAUGAAACUGGGAAAAGAAAACUUAUUUCUGACGCAUGGAAUCAUUUUACACCUGUGAUGAUUAAUGGUGUUCGUUUUGGUGUUU